This 251-nucleotide ribosomal RNA is filed under the name uncultured bacterium. RNAcentral's name for it is "partial 16S ribosomal RNA". It matches the Rfam family "Bacterial small subunit ribosomal RNA", at positions 15 to 268 of the family's 1533-position model. The record is from RNAcentral.
GAUCUGGCUCAGAUUGAACGCUGGCGGCAGGCUUAACACAUGCAAGUCGAGCGGGGGAAAGUAGCUUGCUACUGGACCUAGCGGCGGACGGGUGAGUAAUGCUUAGGAAUCUGCCUAUUAGUGGGGGACAACAUUCCGAAAGGAAUGCUAAUACCGCAUACGUCCUACGGGAGAAAGCAGGGGACCUUCGGCCGUUGCGCUAAUAGAUGAGCCUAAGUCGGAUUAGCUAGUUGGUGGGGUAAAGGGACCGU